UGAACGCUGGCGGCGUGCCUAAUACAUGCAAGUCGAGCGAACAGACGAGGAGCUUGCUCCUCUGCCGUUAGCGGCGGACAGGUGAGUAACACGUGGAUAACCUACCUAUAAGACUGGGAUAACUUCGGGAAACCGGAGCUAAUACCGGAUAAUAUAUUGAACCGCAUGGUUCAAUAGUGAAAGACGGUUUUGCUGUCACUUAUAGAUGGAUCCGCGCCGCAUUAGCUAGUUGGUAAGGUAACGGCUUACCAAGGCAACGAUGCGUAGCCGACCUGAGAGGGUGAUCGGCCACACUGGAACUGAGACACGGUCCAGACUCCUACGGGAGGCAGCAGUAGGGAAUCUUCCGCAAUGGGCGAAAGCCUGACGGAGCAACGCCGCGUGAGUGAUGAAGGUCUUCGGAUCGUAAAACUCUGUUAUUAGGGAAGAACAAAUGUGUAAGUAACUAUGCAGGUCUUGACGGUACCUAAUCAGAAAGCCACGGCUAACUACGUG
RNAcentral lists this ribosomal RNA (495 nucleotides) under uncultured bacterium. RNAcentral's name for it is "partial 16S ribosomal RNA". It matches the Rfam family "Bacterial small subunit ribosomal RNA", at positions 30 to 507 of the family's 1533-position model. The record is from RNAcentral.